This is a long non-coding RNA of Leopardus geoffroyi (Geoffroy's cat), 927 nucleotides long. RefSeq lists it as uncharacterized. Lineage: Eukaryota; Metazoa; Chordata; Mammalia; Carnivora; Felidae. The record is from RefSeq and is a predicted model, not a curated record. The transcript is spliced from 2 exons.
UCAUGGGCCAGCCUCCCUAAUUCAGAGGUGGGGAAACAGGUCCAGGCACUGAGGGGCCUGUCCCAGGUCACCAGCUCAUCUGUGGCAGAACCAGGGAUGAAGCCAGGCCUGUCAUGCUACAUGUUCUGUCAACACUACCUCAGCGGGAGAAGCCAGAGUGUGUCUUCCACAGCCCACUGAUCCCGAGCGUUGGGUUCUGGUUUUAACUCGAACAGAAUUAAGAUCAAGACUGAAAGACAACCCCCUGCAUGACUGGUCAUCCAUUCCUUCUUCCUAACGGAAGCGCCCCAGCCCACCCCGCACCGCCAUCUGCUCAGUCACACUGAGACUUGACUCACUUGUGGAGGAGGCAGCCCCCCUGCCCCCAGGGGACACACAGGCAGCAUCUUCUUGAUUUUGUCGCUGCUACACUGGCAGGCGGGUGAGGGGUUCUCCAUCGUCCAGUUCCCACUUUGGAAGAGUUUCGUGAUGGUCUGGGGAACCGGGGCGGUGGUCCACUCCUCUUCCCCCACUGAGCAAGGCAUGUCUCUGCAGAGGGAAGACAUCAAAGGUAGCAUCACCCGAGAGGGCCUGGCCUUUCCUGGUGCCUCAGGAGCACAGAUCAACCAAUAACAACCACAAACAUGCAUCUAUCCCCUCACCAUUUUUGUGAUCUCCCCACAGACCUGUGAGCCGCAAACUUCCUUUGCAGUUAAGGAUGAUGGAACACAAAAAGGCCCGAAAUGCUCACCUACCAAACUCCAGUCAGUGCAAUCCACCAGCAUUUGGUCUCCUGCCCCUGUGUUCACUCAACGAAUAUUCACUGAGCAUCUACGUGCCAGACACUGUUCGGCACACUUGAGAGUCUGGGGUGAACAAGACAAAGUCUCUGCCUGCAUGGAGCUUGCAUUCCUGUGCAGGAAUUUGGCAAUAAACAAAUGUCACCUA